GUGCUCAGUUUGGCAGCACACAUAGUAAAAUUGGAGCAAUAUAGAGAAGAUUAGCAUGGUCCUGCACAAGGAUGACAUGCAAAUUCUUGAAGCAUUCCAUAUAAGA
Small nuclear RNA from Hyaena hyaena (striped hyena), 106 nucleotides. The record is from RefSeq and is a predicted model, not a curated record. Lineage: Eukaryota; Metazoa; Chordata; Mammalia; Carnivora; Hyaenidae.